RNAcentral lists this ribosomal RNA (1055 nucleotides) under actinobacterium S-N(0)-21A. RNAcentral describes it as "bacterial SSU rRNA". It matches the Rfam family "Bacterial small subunit ribosomal RNA", at positions 333 to 1397 of the family's 1533-position model. The record is from RNAcentral. Lineage: Bacteria; Bacillati; Actinomycetota; Actinomycetes.
AGACUCCUACGGGAGGCAGCAGUGGGGAAUAUUGCACAAUGGGCGAAAGCCUGAUGCAGCGACGCCGCGUGAGGGAUGACGGCCUUCGGGUUGUAAACCUCUUUCAGUAGGGAAGAAGCGAAAGUGACGGUACCUGCAGAAGAAGCGCCGGCUAACUACGUGCCAGCAGCCGCGGUAAUACGUAGGGCGCAAGCGUUAUCCGGAAUUAUUGGGCGUAAAGAGCUCGUAGGCGGUUUGUCGCGUCUGCCGUGAAAGUCCGGGGCUCAACUCCGGAUCUGCGGUGGGUACGGGCAGACUAGAGUGAUGUAGGGGAGACUGGAAUUCCUGGUGUAGCGGUGAAAUGCGCAGAUAUCAGGAGGAACACCGAUGGCGAAGGCAGGUCUCUGGGCAUUAACUGAACGCUGAGGAGCGAAAGCAUGGGGAGCGAACAGGAUUAGAUACCCUGGUAGUCCAUGCCGUAAACGUUGGGCACUAGGUGUGGGGGACAUUCCACGUUUUCCGCGCCGUAGCUAACGCAUUAAGUGCCCCGCCUGGGGAGUACGGCCGCAAGGCUAAAACUCAAAGGAAUUGACGGGGGCCCGCACAAGCGGCGGAGCAUGCGGAUUAAUUCGAUGCAACGCGAAGAACCUUACCAAGGCUUGACAUGAACCGGAAACACCUGGAAACAGGUGCCCCGCUUGCGGUCGGUUUACAGGUGGUGCAUGGUUGUCGUCAGCUCGUGUCGUGAGAUGUUGGGUUAAGUCCCGCAACGAGCGCAACCCUCGUUCUAUGUUGCCAGCGCGUUAUGGCGGGGACUCAUAGGAGACUGCCGGGGUCAACUCGGAGGAAGGUGGGGACGACGUCAAAUCAUCAUGCCCCUUAUGUCUUGGGCUUCACGCAUGCUACAAUGGCCGGUACAAAGGGUUGCGAUACUGUGAGGUGGAGCUAAUCCCAAAAAGCCGGUCUCAGUUCGGAUUGGGGUCUGCAACUCGACCCCAUGAAGUCGGAGUCGCUAGUAAUCGCAGAUCAGCAACGCUGCGGUGAAUACGUUCCCGGGCCUUGUACACACCGCCCGU